Molecule: transfer RNA, 77 nt
Filed under: Mesotoga prima MesG1.Ag.4.2
Lineage: Bacteria; Thermotogati; Thermotogota; Thermotogae; Kosmotogales; Kosmotogaceae
Also listed under: 27 other names
Description: tRNA-Arg (GCG) (tRNA-Arg-GCG-1-1)
Rfam family: tRNA
About the family: Transfer RNA (tRNA) molecules are approximately 80 nucleotides in length.
Source: RNAcentral
GUGCCCGUAGCUCAGCUGGAUAGAGCGCUAGACUGCGGAUCUGGAGGCCGGGCGUUCAAAUCGCCCCGGGCACGCCA